This 289-nucleotide ribosomal RNA is filed under the name uncultured bacterium. RNAcentral's name for it is "partial 16S ribosomal RNA". It matches the Rfam family "Bacterial small subunit ribosomal RNA", at positions 355 to 641 of the family's 1533-position model. The record is from RNAcentral.
UGAGGAAUAUUGGUCAAUGGACGGAAGUCUGAACCAGCCAUGCCGCGUGAAGGAAUAAGGCCCUACGGGUCGUAAACUUCUUUUGUGGUGGAGCAAUAAGACGUACGUGUACGUCGAUGAGAGUACAUCACGAAUAAGCAUCGGCUAACUCCGUGCCAGCAGCCGCGGUAAUACGGAGGAUGCAAGCGUUAUCCGGAUUUAUUGGGUUUAAAGGGUGCGUAGGCUGUGUAGCAAGUCAGUGGUGAAAGCCCGGUGCUCAACACCGGAACUGCCAUUGAUACUGUUGCGC